UGAUUGAUGGUGCUUGCACCUGAUUGAUUUUGGUCGCCAACGAGUGGCGGACGGGUGAGUAACACGUAGGUAACCUGCCCAGAAGCGGGGGACAACAUUUGGAAACAGAUGCUAAUACCGCAUAACAACGUUGUUCGCAUGAACAACGCUUAAAAGAUGGCUUCUCGCUAUCACUUCUGGAUGGACCUGCGGUGCAUUAGCUUGUUGGUGGGGUAAUGGCCUACCAAGGCGAUGAUGCAUAGCCGAGUUGAGAGACUGAUCGGCCACAAUGGGACUGAGACACGGCCCAUACUCCUACGGGAGGCAGCAGUAGGGAAUCUUCCACAAUGGGCGCAAGCCUGAUGGAGCAACACCGCGUGAGUGAAGAAGGGUUUCGGCUCGUAAAGCUCUGUUGUUAAAGAAGAACACGUAUGAGAGUAACUGUUCAUACGUUGACGGUAUUUAACCAGAAAGUCACGGCUAACUACGUGCCAGCAGCCGCGGUAAUACGUAGGUGGCAAGCGUUAUCCGGAUUUAUUGGGCGUAAAGAGAGUGCAGGCGGUUUUCUAAGUCUGAUGUGAAAGCCUUCGGCUUAACCGGAGAAGUGCAUCGGAAACUGGAUAACUUGAGUGCAGAAGAGGGUAGUGGAACUCCAUGUGUAGCGGUGGAAUGCGUAGAUAUAUGGAAGAACACCAGUGGCGAAGGCGGCUACCUGGUCUGCAACUGACGCUGAGACUCGAAAGCAUGGGUAGCGAACAGGAUUAGAUACCCUGGUAGUCCAUGCCGUAAACGAUGAGUGCUAGGUGUUGGAGGGUUUCCGCCCUUCAGUGCCGGAGCUAACGCAUUAAGCACUCCGCCUGGGGAGUACGACCGCAAGGUUGAAACUCAA
Molecule: ribosomal RNA, 868 nt
Filed under: Lactobacillaceae bacterium
Lineage: Bacteria; Bacillati; Bacillota; Bacilli; Lactobacillales; Lactobacillaceae
Description: bacterial SSU rRNA
Rfam family: Bacterial small subunit ribosomal RNA
Source: RNAcentral